This is a ribosomal RNA of Ochotona princeps (American pika), 130 nucleotides long. The record is from Ensembl. Lineage: Eukaryota; Metazoa; Chordata; Mammalia; Lagomorpha; Ochotonidae.
GUCUAUGGUCAUACCAUCCUGAACGUGCCCGAUCUCGUCUGAUCUCGGAAGCUAAUCAGGGUCGGGCCUGGUUAGUACUUGGAUGGGAGAAUACAUUGUCCCCUGUCCUCCUGCCCUUGUGUCUUAAACC